CAGGUUUUGAUAAAAGUAGAAGAGGGGAAAUAGCAGCGCCGCCAGUAACACCACCUUCUCAAGAUCUAAAUUCGAAUCAUGCCAAGAUUGCCAAGACUACCACUCCGAGGAGCACCAACCCGCGGGGCCGGAAGAAACUUCGAUUGACGCUGCAAAACCUAAAGAGUGCCUAGGAGAAGCAGGUGGAAACCCACUUAGAGAAGGAGCUCGACCUUAUUUCCUUAUUAUAAGGAAGUCGUGACUGAGAAAGUGCACGAACUGAGCCAGUGCAUGGUUUACGAAAGGCCGCCAUUGCGGUUUUGCUGGAGGAGAGUGACUUCCGCUGUUGAAACUUGUUGACAGAUCCAUUACAGAUUGAACGGGGAGGUCGGUAGCGGCGCAAUCAUGCUGGCAGAGCCGUGACCUACCCCACUAUGAAGAGUAGUGUGUUGUUUGCGGGACGGAAAGUGACUUAUGAAUAUACCUAGUAUUAGAGGACUAGACUGAGUCGUGUCUUUGGUGUUGGAAGGUGAUUGAGAAUUCUUGCUUAUCUUGAUUCCGGUUCAUGUUUAUUACAUUAAGUAUUCAAUAGUAUAACAUGCAUGCUAGGACUUGGUCAUUCAAUUCUAAUUGAAACUUCUGUGACGCAAUCUGUUCGAGGACAGAGGACAGUUUGGUGUUCGAUAGCAUGUGUCUGAAUCGACGCAUGUGCCGGAGAGGUUGCGGUAUCUGAAAUGAUAGAAGCUCUAUAAGGGCUAAAGAAGGCAUCGACAAAGCUCAGUAAAGGUAUUCCUGAGGCAGAUAUCCAAUCGUUAGUGGAUAGUUCGAUGCAGAAAAAUAGUGAAGCCAUGUGCAUAACACUUCCUAACAUAAUUUGGUCUGUGUCUCAAAUAUUCAAAUGCCUAUGAUGAUUCAUUUAAUUUUCUAACAUAUCAUGGUAGGCAAUCCAUAAGUCUCUCCCCAGCAAACACGCUAGUCUUUACAGUGGCGUAGGUCCCCGACUCAGCCAGCACGAUUGCGCCGCUACCGAUCUCCCCAUUUAAUCUGUCAUGGAUCUGGUCGACAAGCUUUAACGAAGGUCACUCCCCUCCAGCACAAUCGGGAUGACGACCUUUCGUGAACCACCGUACUGGCUCAGUUUGACAUGCACUUUCUCAGCCACAGCUUCCUUCUAAUAGCGGAACAGGCGUCAGGUUUCCGCUUGCUUCUCCUCGACACUCUAAUAUAUGACUCAAUGACACAUUUGUUUAUGAUUGUCUAUUUUUUGAUUAAUAACAUGUCAUUUAUGUCAUACGUUAUUAUUAUAAUGUUGUUACUAUCAAUUUGAUCAACAAAAAAA
This 1318-nucleotide small RNA is filed under the name Vigna angularis var. angularis. RNAcentral's name for it is "Non-protein coding transcript". The record is from RNAcentral. Lineage: Eukaryota; Viridiplantae; Streptophyta; Magnoliopsida; Fabales; Fabaceae.